UCGAGGGGUAUAUAGCUUCGGCAAUAGAGACCGGCGCACGGGUGCGUAACACGUGUACAAUCUACCUUUUGCUAAGGGAUAGCCCGAAGAAAUUUGGAUUAAUACCUUAUGGUAUUAUUUGAUGGCAUCAUUGAAUAAUUAAAGCUUUGGUGGCAAAAGAUGAGUACGCGUCCCAUUAGCUAGUUGGUGUGGUAACGGCAUACCAAGGCUACGAUGGGUAGGGGUCCUGAGAGGGAGGUCCCCCACACUGGUACUGAGACACGGACCAGACUCCUACGGGAGGCAGCAGUGAGGAAUAUUGGACAAUGGUCGGAAGACUGAUCCAGCCAUGCCGCGUGCAGGAUGACGGCCUUAUGGGUUGUAAACUGCUUUUAUACGGGAAGAAUAAGGUCUACGUGUAGAUUGAUGACGGUACUGUAUGAAUAAGCAU
Molecule: ribosomal RNA, 430 nt
Filed under: Capnocytophaga canimorsus
Lineage: Bacteria; Pseudomonadati; Bacteroidota; Flavobacteriia; Flavobacteriales; Flavobacteriaceae
Description: bacterial SSU rRNA
Rfam family: Bacterial small subunit ribosomal RNA
Source: RNAcentral